AACGAACGCUGGCGGCAGGCCUAAACACAUGCAAGUCGAGCGCGCCCUUCGGGGUGAGCGGCGGACGGGUUAGUAACGCGUGGGAAUAUGCCCAAAGGUACGGAAUAGCCUCUGGAAAACGGAGAGUAAUACCGUAUGUGCCCUUCGGGGGAAAGAUUUAUCGCCUUUGGAUUAGCCCGCGUUAGAUUAGGUAGUUGGUGGGGUAAUGGCCUACCAAGCCUACGAUCUAUAGCUGGUUUUAGAGGAUGAUCAGCAACACUGGGACUGAGACACGGCCCAGACUCCUACGGGAGGCAGCAGUGGGGAAGUCUUGGACAAUAGGGGGCGAACCCUCGAUCCAGCCAUGCCGCGUGAGUGAUGAAGG
Molecule: ribosomal RNA, 364 nt
Filed under: uncultured Alphaproteobacteria bacterium
Lineage: Bacteria; Pseudomonadati; Pseudomonadota; Alphaproteobacteria
Description: bacterial SSU rRNA
Rfam family: Bacterial small subunit ribosomal RNA
Source: RNAcentral